This 2168-nucleotide long non-coding RNA is filed under the name Actinidia chinensis (golden kiwifruit). RNAcentral's name for it is "long non-coding RNA (ACHI_LNC001749)". Lineage: Eukaryota; Viridiplantae; Streptophyta; Magnoliopsida; Ericales; Actinidiaceae. The record is from RNAcentral.
AACAGCUUCCUUGCUUAUCUCUUGCCAAAACAAUUGGAAGAAAGUUGUUGAAAUUGAUGCAUCCAAUAUUGGUUAUGGAGGAAUUUUGAAAUAAAUUAAUCCUGAAAAUAAUAAAGAAGAGCUAAUUCACUUUACUUCAGGAAUGUGGAAAUCACCACAAAUAAAUUAUUCAACAAUAAAGAAAAAAAUGCUUUAUGUUAAAUGUAUUUCUAAAUUUCAAGAUGAUUUAUUAAAUCAGAUUUUUAUCUUGAGAGUUGACUGCUCAGCAGUUAAACAAAUUUUGAAAAAAGAUAUUAAAAAUCUUGCCUCAAAACAAAUUUUUGCUAAAUGGCAAGUAGAAUUAUCUUCUUUUGAUUUUGAAAUUGAUUAUAUCAAAGGAGAAUCUAAUUCUCUCCCUGAUUUUUUUAUCAGGGAAUUUUUACAAGAUCACAAUGAUCAGUGACAAUAGAUCAGAAAUUUAAAUAAAAUUCUGAGAGAAAUUACAGUUCUGGAGCAAAGGAAUAAAUACCUUUUGUCUUCCAAACUCUUACAAUGCUACUAUUUCAGUUAUCAGACUGAAGUAAUUCUAAAUAAUAAUGCAAUUAUAGCAUUACAAAGGGAGGCUAAAGAUUUGUCUAUUACAAAUUCUAUUAAUAUCAUUAAUGAUAAAUGAUCAACAGAGAAGGAAAUUAAAUAAAAUCCUUCAACAAAUUGAUAUCUUAGAGCAAAUAAAUAUUCUUCUUUUCCGUAUAAGAUGCCAAUAUUUUAGUUACAUAACUGAAGAAUAUGUAAUAACAACUUUAAAAAAUGAAGCUAGAAAGUUGUAUAUUACAACAUAGAAUUAAUUGAUGAUUAAUUCUGAAAAUAUCAGAAAAAUGAAUAAAUUAAUAAGGAAGAUGGAAAGUUCUUUAGAGCUAUCCAAUUUUAUGAUAAAGAAAUUAGAAAAAAGGAUAAUGUUCCUUCUUCUGAUAAUAUGUGAAAAACUUUCUACUUGCUUGAUAGAGACCGUAUGGCUCGAAAAGUUUUAAAGUUAUAUAUGUAACUCAAAAAUAAUAAGCAUAUUGCUUUCAUUUGAUUUUCUUACGAUUAAUGAAAAACAAAGACAACAAAUUACUAAAAUUUUAAGAGAAAUAGAUUCUCUUGAGAAAUAAUUUCUAGAUUGGUGUACAACAGAAAUUACUGUUGACAGCUUUGAUGAUCCUAUCUUUAUUCAGGGCUUCGAUAAUAUGUGCCUUACUCGAAGUAGAAUUGAAGAUCUUAAAGAUCAAUUAGUCAAAUUAUAUAUUUUAUAUGGUUAAUCUAUUGCAGAUAGCUAAUAAAGGAAAGAAAAAUAUCCCGCCAUAUAAAGGUUCUGCUCUUGGAAGAAUAUCUUCUUCCCCAUUAAUUGAUGAUGAGGGGUUUUCUAUCGUUCCCCCAAAGCAAUAUUUCAAGAGGGGUGGGCAUAUUGGUUCAUUUUCUUCGUCUAAACAGAAGCAGAAGAUUCCUAAUAAUAAGGAGAAGCAGACUCCUAAUAAAAAGGAGACUUUAGCCAAUAUUGUGGCUAAGAAUGAGAAUGAAGAAUAUGUCUCAAAGAAUUAUCCUAUGCAUAUCCAGAAUGAGAAUGAAGAAUAUGUCUCAAAGAAUUAUCCUAUGCAUAUCUGCUAUAUUGAGCAGGAAGAUUAUCAUUUGAUUGAUAAUCCUUGGGCAAUAAGAGCCAAGUAUCUCAAUCCUUUUCAAAGCAGGAUUCAUUCAGGGAAACCUAGCAUAUAUUUUGAAAAUAACUUGGAUCAAACUGAUAGUAUGGAUAUAGUAUAUACACCAUACCAGGAAAAAUGUUGUUGAUCUUACCAGUUCUAUAUAUUAUAGAAAGUGCAUUAUCAAAAAGGUUAUUAAGCCAGGAAAUUGGGGUUUGGAUCUUUCUGCCUCAAAAUCCAUGAUUAUUAAUAAGGUCUCCCAGAGUUUCAAUUAUUGGGAUUACUAUAAGGUUUUUUUUUGAGGUUUUCAUGUAUCAAAAUCAAAAGCUGAAGCAUUCUUGGUUUUUCAAGUUUUGCACAAGGAUAAUGACAUCCGGUGAUUUACCAGUCUGGUUUUAUGAUUGGUGGCUUACAUAUGGGCCUGUAGUAGAUAUUUUACAGUCCAAUAUUUUAGAAGCCUUUCGCAGAUGGGAAAAAUGGCAUCCUCAAAUUAGAGGAAAGAAUGAUUUACCAUAU